UUUGAAGUAGCUGUAUAUUUAGCGCUGGCCUUUUAAGCCAGAGAUGGACGACUGUCCCUCAUAG
Molecule: non-coding RNA, 64 nt
Organism: Gekko japonicus
Lineage: Eukaryota; Metazoa; Chordata; Lepidosauria; Squamata; Gekkonidae
Source: the annotation of a RefSeq genome assembly